Molecule: ribosomal RNA, 253 nt
Filed under: uncultured bacterium
Lineage: Bacteria
Also listed under: 1 other name
Description: partial 16S ribosomal RNA
Rfam family: Bacterial small subunit ribosomal RNA
Source: RNAcentral
UACGAAGGGGGCUAGCGUUGUUCGGAAUUACUGGGCGUAAAGCGCGCGCAGGCGGUUUCUCAAGUCAGUGGUGAAAGCCCGGAGCUCAACUCCGGAACUGCCAUUGAAACUGUGAGACUUGAGGACGAGAGAGGUGAGUGGAAUUCCCAGUGUAGAGGUGAAAUUCGUAGAUAUUGGGAAGAACACCGGUGGCGAAGGCGGCUCACUGGCUCGUUUCUGACGCUCAGGCGCGACAGCGUGGGGAUCAAACAGG